Molecule: long non-coding RNA, 1202 nt
Filed under: Ananas comosus (pineapple)
Lineage: Eukaryota; Viridiplantae; Streptophyta; Magnoliopsida; Poales; Bromeliaceae
Description: long non-coding RNA (ACOM_LNC024310)
Source: RNAcentral
GGGGGUGAAUAGGUGUAAAACGGUAAAAAUAAAAACUCUCGAUGUAAAUAAAAGAGAUAGCGGAAAAUAAAAAGAGCACACCGAGAUUUUAACAUGGGAAAACUCCAAUCCGGAGUGAAAAAACCCACGGGACCGAUCACACGAAGAAAAUCCACUAAGAAAACUUGAGUACAAGUGAUUUAACCGAAAUACAUGACUCAAUUUACCGAAUUCUCGUUGUUGAUUGUCUUCGCCGGUCCUCGAUCGAUAGGAAUCCUCUAAUCGACCUCGCCGCAACUCCUUGCCGCGUCAACGCCUCAACUCCUCGAAGCGUCCACCGAAUCCUCGGCUUCACGCGAGAUCCACGCGCCGAACCUCCUUCCGGAGCUUGUAGAAUUGAUGAUUUGUGGUAAUUAAGACUUAAAAUCCCAUAAGCAAUGAGGGUUCACCUUCAAAUCAAACAUCUACUUGAUUCUCGAAGAAAAUCUCGAGUUAAAACUUAAGAAUCAAGUCGAUCGUUGAUUAUAUGAAACUUGUUAUAUGAAUAAAAUCAUAAGAAUGUGAAAACAAGUUUCUAGGAUUUUAGAACAGCAGAAAUUCAAAGCCUCAACUCAUAUGAUGACCCCCAUGGCUUAUUUAUAGGUUUAGAAGACUUAGAAGUAGACUAGGAUUGUAAAAAGUCUAUUUUAAAAACUGGUGUCGUCCUCAGGGACCGGUCCUCUCGAGGAGACCGGUCUGUCAGAGACCGGUGCCUUGGGUGGGAGACCGGUCCCUCGCUGCGUGACAGAAAACACAACGUUCGGGAACCGGUCUCUCAUGCCAGAGACCGGUCUCUCUCUGCGAGUCAAAAAUCCCAACGUUCGGGAACCGGUCUCCCAUGCCAGAAACUGGGUGCACCGACCAGGAGACCGGUCCCUCAGAUCAGGAGACCAGUUGCAUUAGUCUUUCACACAAAGAGGACUCUCAGGAACCGGUCUCUCAUCUCAGGGGACCAGUCUAAGCACAUUAAAAACCUCAGUUUGUGUUUUCUAUUGCAAUCCAAGUCUUCUAAACUUAUAUUUAGGUAGUUUAAACACACCACAAAUGAUCUAACAUACAUACCUGAGGUGUCGAGCUUUCCGAAUAGGUCUUUGAUUCUUCAAAGUGAAUCUUCUCUUCAAACUUCCGCGAUAAACUCUUCAAGACUCCAUUCGACUUCACGAAAUCCGCCAACCUAGAAAAUC